GGUUGUAUGGUGUAGUGGUUAGCACUCCAGAUUCUGAUCAGUGAUUUCUGGCGACUUGGGUUCAAUUCCCAAUACGACCU
RNAcentral lists this transfer RNA (80 nucleotides) under Orbilia blumenaviensis. RNAcentral describes it as "tRNA-Gln". It matches the Rfam family "tRNA". From Rfam's summary of the family: Transfer RNA (tRNA) molecules are approximately 80 nucleotides in length. Their secondary structure includes four short double-helical elements and three loops (D, anti-codon, and T loops). The record is from RNAcentral. Lineage: Eukaryota; Fungi; Ascomycota; Orbiliomycetes; Orbiliales; Orbiliaceae.